GCCAAAUCUAGCUCGCCCACACACACAAAACCACCUAACCAACCAAACAAACCAUUUGCCAAAGUUAGUAAAUGCGAUUGAGCCCUAUCAACGACGCAAUAGUAAAAAGUACCGCAAGGGAAAGAUGAAAUACCCGCAACUAUAAAGCAACACAAAGCAAGGAUCAGCCCCUGUACCUUUUGCAUCAUGGUCUAGCAAGAACCCCCGGGCAAAGAGACACUAUAGUCCGCCACCCCGAAAUCGAAUGAGCUACUUCUGGGCAACCAACAGACUCAACCCGUCUCUGUAGCAAAAGAGUGGGACGACCCAGAAGUAGUGGCGAAAAACCUAACGAACUCGAUGAUAGCUGGUUACCUGAUAAAAGAAUCUUAGUUCUACUUCAAGACCAAAACACACUAACUAGUUAAACCUUCUGACUUGAAAGAUACUCAAUAGGGGUACAGCUCUAUUGAGUCAGACUACACCCUGCCGCAGAGAACAACCUAGACCCUGCAAUCAGUGGGCCCCAAAGCAGCCACCACAAAACUACAGCGUCAUAGCCACACCACAAAAAUACCACCCCACACUCCCAAUUCCUGCAACCCUACCAGGUAAUUCUAUAGACAUAUAGAAGAACUUAUGCUAGAAUUAGUAACAAGAACACCCACGCCCUUCUCUGCGCACACCUGUAACUCAGCAAUAGAACACCUACUGACAAUUAACAGACCAAAAAAGGACUAAUGUCACACCAACAAGACAAAAAUUUUACCCACUGUUAACCCAACACAGGCUUGCCCUACAAGAAAGAUUGAACAUUAAAGAAGGAACUCGGCAAACCCCAGGCCCCAACUGUUUACCAAAAACAUAGCCUUUAGCAACAAGAGUAUUAAAGGUCCCGCCUGCCCAGUGACUAACCACUUAAACGGCCGCGGUAUCCUAACCGUGCAAAGGUAGCGUAAUCACUUGCCCCCUAAAUAGGGACUAGUAUGAACGGCUAAAUGAGGGCCUAACUGUCUCCUUUGAUUAAUCAGUGAAAUUGAUCCACCAGUACAAAAGCUGGUAUAAGCACAUAAGACGAGAAGACCCCGUGGAGCUUAAAAUACUUAUGCCAAACCGACAUCCGCCGAUAAAAAUGCCAUAACAUUUUCAGUUGGGGCGACUACGGAAACAAACCAAACUUCCAAGCCAGGGGCCUCUCCCCCCUCCCCCAGACAAACAUGUCAAAUCACCACACGACCCAGAACUGCUCUGAGUGACGAAUCAAGUUACCCCGGGGAUAACAGCGCCAUCUUCUUCAAGAGUCCCCAUCGACAAGAAGGUUUACGACCUCGAUGUUGGAUCAGGACACCCUAAUGGUGCAGCCGCUAUUAAAGGUUCGUUUGUUCAACGAUUAAAGUCCUACGCGAUCUGAGUUCAGACCGGAGAAAUCCAGGUCGGUUUCUAUCUAUGUUAAAUCUUCCUUAGUACGAAAGGACCAGGAAGAUGGGACCUAUCUUAAUAAGAAGCCCCUCAAGCAUAGUUGACAAAAACUUAAUCUAAACCGAGACAACAACUCGAGCCCCAGACCAGGGCUCU
RNAcentral lists this ribosomal RNA (1554 nucleotides) under Dopasia hainanensis (Hainan glass lizard). RNAcentral describes it as "16S ribosomal RNA". It matches the Rfam family "Bacterial large subunit ribosomal RNA", at positions 465 to 2838 of the family's 2925-position model. The record is from RNAcentral. Lineage: Eukaryota; Metazoa; Chordata; Lepidosauria; Squamata; Anguidae.